GGGUUGUGAGGUUAAGCGACUAAGCGUACACGGUGGAUGCCCUGGCAGUCAGAGGCGAUGAAGGACGUGCUAAUCUGCGAUAAGCGCCGGUAAGGUGAUAUGAACCGUUAUAACCGGCGAUUUCCGAAUGGGGAAACCCAGUGUGAUUCGUCACACUAUCAUUAACUGAAUCCAUAGGUUAAUGAGGCGAACCGGGGGAACUGAAACAUCUAAGUACCCCGAGGAAAAGAAAUCAACCGAGAUUCCCCCAGUAGCGGCGAGCGAACGGGGAGGAGCCCAGAGCCUGAAUCAGCAUGUGUGUUAGUGGAAGCGUCUGGAAAGGUGCGCGAUACAGGGUGACAGCCCCGUACACAAAAGCGCAUGUGCUGUGAGCUCGAUGAGUAGGGCGGGACACGUGGUAUCCUGUCUGAAUAUGGGGGGACCAUCCUCCAAGGCUAAAUACUCCUGACUGACCGAUAGUGAACCAGUACCGUGAGGGAAAGGCGAAAAGAACCCCGGCGAGGGGAGUGAAAAAGAACCUGAAACCGUGUACGUACAAGCAGUGGGAGCACCCUUCGGGGUGUGACUGCGUACCUUUUGUAUAAUGGGUCAGCGACUUAUAUUCUGUAGCAAGGUUAACCGUAUAGGGGAGCCGGAGGGAAACCGAGUCUUAACCGGGCGUUAAGUUGCAGGGUAUAGACCCGAAACCCGGUGAUCUAGCCAUGGGCAGGUUGAAGGUUGGGUAACACUAACUGGAGGACCGAACCGACUAAUGUUGAAAAAUUAGCGGAUGACCUGUGGCUGGGGGUGAAAGGCCAAUCAAACCGGGAGAUAGCUGGUUCUCCCCGAAAGCUAUUUAGGUAGCGCCUCGUGAAUUCAUCUCCGGGGGUAGAGCACUGUUUCGGCUAGGGGGCCAUCCCGGCUUACCAACCCGAUGCAAACUGCGAAUACCGGAGAAUGUUAUCACGGGAGACACACGGCGGGUGCUAACGUCCGUCGUGAAGAGGGAAACAACCCAGACCGCCAGCUAAGGUCCCAAAGUCAUGGUUAAGUGGGAAACGAUGUGGGAAGGCCCAGACAGCCAGGAUGUUGGCUUAGAAGCAGCCAUCAUUUAAAGAAAGCGUAAUAGCUCACUGGUCGAGUCGGCCUGCGCGGAAGAUGUAACGGGGCUAAACCAUGCACCGAAGCUGCGGCAGCGACGCUGAUGCGUUGUUGGGUAGGGGAGCGUUCUGUAAGCCUGCGAAGGUGACCUGUGAGGGUUGCUGGAGGUAUCAGAAGUGCGAAUGCUGACAUAAGUAACGAUAAAGCGGGUGAAAAGCCCGCUCGCCGGAAGACCAAGGGUUCCUGUCCAACGUUAAUCGGGGCAGGGUGAGUCGACCCCUAAGGCGAGGCCGAAAGGCGUAGUCGAUGGGAAACGGGUUAAUAUUCCCGUACUUGGUGUUACUGCGAAGGGGACGGAGAAGGCUAUGUUGGCCGGGCGACGGUUGUCCCGGUUUAAGCGUGUAGGUGUGUGUUCCAGGUAAAUCCGGUUCACUUUAACACUGAGGCGUGAUGACGAGGCACUACGGUGCUGAAGCAACAAAUGCCCUGCUUCCAGGAAAAGCCUCUAAGCAUCAGGUAACAUCAAAUCGUACCCCAAACCGACACAGGUGGUCAGGUAGAGAAUACCAAGGCGCUUGAGAGAACUCGGGUGAAGGAACUAGGCAAAAUGGUGCCGUAACUUCGGGAGAAGGCACGCUGACACGUAGGUGAAGUGAUUUACUCACGGAGCUGAAGUCAGUCGAAGAUACCAGCUGGCUGCAACUGUUUAUUAAAACACAGCACUGUGCAAACACGAAAGUGGACGUAUACGGUGUGACGCCUGCCCGGUGCCGGAAGGUUAAUUGAUGGGGUCAGCGCAAGCGAAGCUCCUGAUCGAAGCCCCGGUAAACGGCGGCCGUAACUAUAACGGUCCUAAGGUAGCGAAAUUCCUUGUCGGGUAAGUUCCGACCUGCACGAAUGGCGUAAUGAUGGCCAGGCUGUCUCCACCCGAGACUCAGUGAAAUUGAACUCGCUGUGAAGAUGCAGUGUACCCGCGGCAAGACGGAAAGACCCCGUGAACCUUUACUAUAGCUUGACACUGAACAUUGAGCCUUGAUGUGUAGGAUAGGUGGGAGGCUUUGAAGUGUGGACGCCAGUCUGCAUGGAGCCGACCUUGAAAUACCACCCUUUAAUGUUUGAUGUUCUAACGUGGACCCGUAAUCCGGGUUGCGGACAGUGUCUGGUGGGUAGUUUGACUGGGGCGGUCUCCUCCUAAAGAGUAACGGAGGAGCACGAAGGUUGGCUAAUCCUGGUCGGACAUCAGGAGGUUAGUGCAAUGGCAUAAGCCAGCUUGACUGCGAGCGUGACGGCGCGAGCAGGUGCGAAAGCAGGUCAUAGUGAUCCGGUGGUUCUGAAUGGAAGGGCCAUCGCUCAACGGAUAAAAGGUACUCCGGGGAUAACAGGCUGAUACCGCCCAAGAGUUCAUAUCGACGGCGGUGUUUGGCACCUCGAUGUCGGCUCAUCACAUCCUGGGGCUGAAGUAGGUCCCAAGGGUAUGGCUGUUCGCCAUUUAAAGUGGUACGCGAGCUGGGUUUAGAACGUCGUGAGACAGUUCGGUCCCUAUCUGCCGUGGGCGCUGGAGAACUGAGGGGGGCUGCUCCUAGUACGAGAGGACCGGAGUGGACGCAUCACUGGUGUUCGGGUUGUCAUGCCAAUGGCACUGCCCGGUAGCUAAAUGCGGAAGAGAUAAGUGCUGAAAGCAUCUAAGCACGAAACUUGCCCCGAGAUGAGUUCUCCCUGAGACUUAGAGUCUCCUGAAGGAACGUUGAAGACGACGACGUUGAUAGGCCGGGUGUGUAAGCGCAGCGAUGCGUUGAGCUAACCGGUACUAAUGAACCGUGAGGCUUAACCUUACAACGCCGAAG
RNAcentral lists this ribosomal RNA (2924 nucleotides) under Salmonella enterica. RNAcentral's name for it is "23S ribosomal RNA". It matches the Rfam family "Bacterial large subunit ribosomal RNA". Lineage: Bacteria; Pseudomonadati; Pseudomonadota; Gammaproteobacteria; Enterobacterales; Enterobacteriaceae. The record is from RNAcentral.